ACGAAACAGGACGCUGCUGACCAUCAGGGAAUCAGAUGUGAGCUCGUCCGCAUCAAGCAACCAGUUGGGCCUGACGUGGAGCGUCUUGGGUCUUGGGUCGUUGAUGUUGACAAGAAGAUGAAUAAUAAGCUCGGAGUGCUGUCUGUCGUCGGGUAUGGUGGUCAGGGGAAAACCACCAUUGCGAUGGAGCUUUACCGCAAAUUCGGUCCUCAGUUCGACUGCCGAGCAAUGGUGACUGUGUCUCAGAACUCCGAACCUGAGAUAGUGUGGCGGAACAUACUGAGUCAGCUGAAGCAGCAGGCCGAAAAUGGUGUGAAGGAAGGCAAAGAUAGCAGCACGCGUUCCAGAAUGGAGAGGAAAAUUCAAGUUAUCAGAAGCAUAGUGAACCGGCUUAGGCAUCCAUGCCGAAAUGAAGACGAAGAUGGCAGCACUUUGUUGGGAAGGCACAGACAAAAUCAUCAAGCGGGCCUGGUGGGGAACACACUGAGUCAGGUAAAGAAUAAUGGCGAGCAGCAUGGCACCAGCUUGGAGAAGAAGGCUCCAGUUACCGGAAGCAUAUGGAGUCGACUUAUUAUGCUGCUCUCCCGGAAGGGAGGGGUGGAUGGCGGGCAGCAAAUACAAGCAGAGCUGAGGAGUUACCUAGAACAAAAG
Zea mays is the source of this 651-nucleotide RNA transcript. It is a transcript of the gene named NB-ARC superfamily protein pseudogene, with no coding region annotated. The transcript has a single exon. The record is from RefSeq and is marked validated. Lineage: Eukaryota; Viridiplantae; Streptophyta; Magnoliopsida; Poales; Poaceae.